This 231-nucleotide ribosomal RNA is filed under the name uncultured bacterium. Its description in RNAcentral is "partial 16S ribosomal RNA". It matches the Rfam family "Bacterial small subunit ribosomal RNA", at positions 118 to 347 of the family's 1533-position model. The record is from RNAcentral.
UGAGGAACAUGACCUUCGGCGGGGGAUAGCCGGCCCAACGGCCGGGUAAUACCGCGUACGACCACAUGGGGACAUCCCUGAGUGGUGAAAGCAGCAAUGCGCCCGAUGGAGUGCCUCGCGGCCUAUCAGCUAGUUGAUGGGGUAACGGCUCACCAAGGCGACGACGGGUAGCUGGUCUGAGAGGAUGAUCGGCCACAUUGGAACUGAGACACGGUCCAGACUNUACGGGAG